CGUAAAGCGUGCGCAGGCGGUUUUGUAAGUCAGAUGUGAAAUCCCCGAGCUCAACUUGGGAACUGCGUUUGAAACUAUAAGACUAGAAUAUGUCAGAGGGGGGUAGAAUUCCACGUGUAGCAGUGAAAUGCGUAGAGAUGUGGAGGAAUACCAAUGGCGAAGGCAGCCCCCUGGGAUAAUAUUGACGCUCAUGCACGAAAGCGUGGGGAGCAAACAGGAUUAGAUACCCUGGUAGUCCACGCCCUAAACGAUGUCUACUAGUUGUUGGUGGAGUAAAAUCCAUGAGUAACGCAGCUAACGCGUGAAGUAGACCGCCUGGGGAGUACGGUCGCAAGAUUAAAACUCAAAUGAAUUGACGGGGGCCCGCACAAGCGGUGGAUUAUGUGGAUUAAUUCGAUGCAACGCGAAAAACCUUACCUGGCCUUGACAUGUAACGAACUUUCCAGAGAUGGAUUGGUGCUCGAAAGAGAACGUUAACACAGGUGCUGCAUGGCUGUCGUCAGCUCAUGUCGUGAGAUGUUGGGUUAAGUCCCGCAACGAGCGCAACCCUUGCCAUUAAUUGCCAUCAUUUAGUUGGGCACUUUAAUGGGACUGCCGGUGACAAACCGGAGGAAGGUGGGGAUGACGUCAAGUCCUCAUGGCCCUUAUGGCCAGGGCUUCACACGUAAUACAAUGGUCGGUACAGAGGGUCGCCAACCCGCGAGGGGGAGCCAAUCCCAGAAAGCCGAUCGUAGUCCGGAUUGUAGUCUGCAACUCGACUACAUGAAGUCGGAAUCGCUAGUAAUCGCGGAUCAGCAUGUCGCGGUGAAUACGUUCCCGGGCCUUGUACACACCGCCCGU
This 840-nucleotide ribosomal RNA is filed under the name uncultured beta proteobacterium. Its description in RNAcentral is "bacterial SSU rRNA". It matches the Rfam family "Bacterial small subunit ribosomal RNA", at positions 559 to 1397 of the family's 1533-position model. Lineage: Bacteria; Pseudomonadati; Pseudomonadota; Betaproteobacteria. The record is from RNAcentral.